GCAAACAUCCUUGCUGGCUUCAGGAAGGGUGGGACGGAAUUGUUUGGUAGUUCAAGGGGUUCUGAGGUCUCUCUCAUCAGUCAGCAGGCUUUUAAAGAAGCAGGAACUCCAGAGGGAGCGGGGCAAGACCAAGGGCAAACAAGAUGGCGGGAGGGGUGAAAUCCCGCCCCGAGGUGCAGACCUGAAGGGUCUCUUCUAACAGGUGUGUCCACGAGAGACCUCCGGAGCAGCCCACAAGCAGCUCACAGCUGCGGGCCACCUGCCUUCCUGUGCUCAGCUCAGGAAUAUUUGUAUCUUGUGAGGAUGCAGCUACAGUGCAAUCCUGGGGUAGGAGAACAACACCAGCAAAACCCUUCUCUAAGCACCUUCUAUGACACCGAAACGAAAAAGAAACGAAAUACCCAGAAUUCAAGUUAGCAAGCUCCCAGGGAUUCUGGACUGCACACCGUUGCAGGGAGAUAUGGUGGAGAAUGACGGUGUUUGCAGUUUGUUUUGCCGUCAUGUCAACAAGUGCAAGCAGCCUUUCCUCAACACACUUUUAAACAACGUUUGUGACUCAGAACCCAGGCACUCAGUCCUCUGGAGGAGGCAUCAGAGAAGGACGGCCCCUAACUCCCGGUGGGAAGGAUACUAUCAAGUACUAUUAACAACUGACACAGGAGUGCAAUUCCAAGAAAUUGAUUUCUGGAUUCAGGUUUCUCAAUUAAAGAGGCAAAAACUAUCCUCAACUCUUGUAAGACUUUUUUUUUUUUUUAAGCUCUCAAGCCAAAGUUUCUUAGAAACCCCUCAGAAGCAGAUGAGCUUCAUAAGGAAAGAGCUUGCCCCAGUGACUGGGGGUAACUAAGGUCAGGAGAAGGAGUUGAUGUUUUCCACCAAAGACCCAUGGAAGAAGAGUACAAGCCCCUAGGCUUUAAUCUGCACUCUUGUUCUUCAUUUUUCAAGCUAUGGUCUUGCCUGUCUUCCUUGUUUAAGGCAACUUUGACCUACAUUACACGUAAGGCCAGUUCUUGAUAUUCUCCUUCUCUCCUUAUUCACUCUUUUCUAUGGGCCCAAUAUCUACCUGUGAGCUGGCUGAAGGGUACAGCUAAACUGUUGAUUUUUCACAUCUUUUAAAGCUCCUUGGUUUCCUUAGUUUUGCUUUCUUAUAAUUUAUCAGUUGGCUUUAAGGGUCCAAAUGAUUAAUGGACUAACUAAUUAACCAUUAGUUGACUUUUUACCUGGCAAACAGCAUGAAAAGUAGAAACCUAAAACAACCUUACCUUGUCCUUCUAGGAAAGGAUUCAUAUCUCCAUUACAACAAUAUUGGAGACCUUUCGUGGAAUAGUUUAGUACCCUUGGAAAUACUGUAACAGAAACUACAGAAAAUGGAACACAAGGGGAGAUGUUAAAAUGAAAGGAAGAUCUGUGGGCUGUAAACUUAAGUGACAUGAUAGAUAUUUAAUUGGAGGAGGGAGAGCACAGGUAAAACUACUUAAAGGAACAGUAGUCAAUCAUGAUGAAAACUGUAAACACACAGAACCAAGAAUCAUAACAACCCCCAAGAAAGAAAAUAUCGCCCAUACACACCAUCAUCAAAUUGCCGAAAUUUAAUGACAAAAAGAAAAUCUUAGAACCAGACAGAAAAAUAGAUGUGAUAGAACAGAACAGAAUGGCAGCCGACUUCUCACUGGAAAUGAUGAAAACAAUGAAACGGUGGCCAGCACCUUUAAAGUACCAAUAACUUAGAGGUCUACACCCAAUUAAAAAUGGCUUUCAAAACCACAACUGAACUAAAGACUUUUAAAACAUAUAAUUUAAAAUAAAUAAGUUUUAAACACAAAUCAUUCACCACUAGCAGACCUGUUGUAUAGGAAAAUGGAGAAAAUGGAGGGGGCCCUCCAAGGUGGGAGGAAGUUGAAAGUGGAUGGCAUCUGGAUCUGUACAAAAGAAUGAAGAGCACAGGGAAUGGAACAGCAUGGAUAAAUACACGGAGAUUUUUAUGAACAUCUUUUUACAAGAUAUUUAACUAAACAAAAAUCAUAAUGUAUUGUGGGGUUCACAACAUGAAAAAGUAAAAAUAUCUUAAAACAAUAGCAUAAAGUCAGGGAGGAGAUAAAUGGAAGUGUAUUACUCAUAAGUGUUUUAAAUAUGAUAUACGAAAUUGUAUAACAUUACUUGAAAAUAGAUGAAGAUAAAGAUGUUUACUAUAAACCCUAAAAUAACCAUUAAAAUAAUAUAAUAAAUAGCUAAAGAGUCAAUAAAAGAGAUAAAAUAGAGUCCUCAAAAAAGACUCAAUCCAAAAGUGAAUAUACUUUGUAUACAACUAGAGGUGUGAAAAAGUGUGCUCUAUAUGUGCAAUAUGAAUUGUAAUGCAUUCUGCUGUCAUAUGUAACAAAUUAGAAUAAAAAUAAAUUAAAAAAAGACUCAAUCCAAAAAAAGGUAGAAAAGGAGGAAAAGGGUAAUAAGAACAGAUGUUGCAAUAGGAAAAAAAAUGGAAAAAUGAGAAAUGAAACCCUAAUCAUGAAAUAAUUACAUUAAAUGUGAAUGGGUUAAUCACUUCAAUUAAAGGGCAGAGAUUGCCAAAUAUAAUGCAAAAGCAAGGCCCACUUAAAGUUGUCCACAAGAUACACACUCUAAACUUAAAGACACAAAUAGAUUCACUACAUAAGCAUGCAAAAGUUAAGUCUAGUCAAAAGAAAUUGAUAAAGGAAAUAAUUAGUCAAAUGUAAAAUGAUACAACUUUGGAAAACAUUUGGGCAGUUUCUUCAGAAGGUAAAUAUCAACUGCAUUAUCCAACUCAUAGAAAGCGUAUAUCCUUAUAAAGACUUGUAUGGAAAUAUUCAAUAUCAGUAUCAUUAAUAAAAGCCAGAACUGGAAACAAAUGUCUCUCAUGAUAUGAAUGGACCAAUAGUGGUGGUGCACCCACACAAUGGAAACCUUUUCAACAAUAAAGGGUCUGAAUUAUUGAUACAUGAAAUGUAAAUGAAUCUCAAACUAAUUUAUGCUUUUUGUUAAGAUAAUGGGUAAAAUAAAUGCAUAUUUAUGGGUCUAUUUAUGCAAAAUUCUAGAAUCUUUCAUACAGAAAUUCUAUUAGUGGUUGCCUUGGGUGGAGCGAAGGGGAGGAACAGGGGGCCAGGAUUCCCAAGGACCAUGAGGAAACAUUUGGGAAUGACUAUGGUGUUGGUUUCAUGGGUACAUACGAAGGUAAAAAUUAGAAGAUUAUCCCUUUUAAAUCUGUGCAGUUUAUUGCAUGUCAAGUUUAUCCCAAUAAAACUGACACAAGUAAGCUAUGUUACAAGGAUUGAAAGUAGAGAAUUUUUA
Molecule: long non-coding RNA, 3300 nt
Organism: Marmota monax (woodchuck)
Lineage: Eukaryota; Metazoa; Chordata; Mammalia; Rodentia; Sciuridae
Exons: 3
Source: RefSeq, a predicted model, not a curated record